RNAcentral lists this transfer RNA (73 nucleotides) under Cordylochernes scorpioides. Its description in RNAcentral is "tRNA-Thr". The record is from RNAcentral. Lineage: Eukaryota; Metazoa; Arthropoda; Arachnida; Pseudoscorpiones; Chernetidae.
GUCCAGGGAUGGGAAUCGAACCCACAAUGUUCCGCUUACCGGGCAGAUGCCAUGUCCUCUAGGCUACCCUGGA